GGGACCAUUAUUAUGGUUUUAAGGUCAAAAAGCGCUUUAACUAGAUCAAUGCAGCUCUUGAGAUGUGUCUGAUGCAACUAAGCUGCUGCAUUUCAACAGAAAACCCAUGAUCCUCUUCCCACUGUCCUGUAAAAUUGGUGCAUCAAUUGAGGUGCAAUGCAGGUUUUCUUUAAAUAAAUCAGAGUCUCUGUUGCCGAUGUGUGAGCAGACGGUCACCCACAGGCAAUGCAGGAUACAUGAAGGUUAUGAAGCUCGAUGCCACAAUUCCAUGGUCGGAGCUCAUGGAAGCAGCACGCAGAAAUGAUUCUAUAUCAAGAAACCCAUCACUUUAUAGCAUUGCUGCUGCAUUUAUACAGUACUUAAUCUUGAAGUUUGCAGGUCAUCACUUUCAUCUUUAUCAAGAAAACCAUCAAUGUUAUGC
Molecule: unclassified non-coding RNA, 421 nt
Filed under: Hevea brasiliensis (rubber tree)
Lineage: Eukaryota; Viridiplantae; Streptophyta; Magnoliopsida; Malpighiales; Euphorbiaceae
Source: RNAcentral